This 164-nucleotide ribosomal RNA is filed under the name Disakisperma dubium. RNAcentral describes it as "5.8S ribosomal RNA". It matches the Rfam family "5.8S ribosomal RNA". From Rfam's summary of the family: 5.8S ribosomal RNA (5.8S rRNA) is a component of the large subunit of the eukaryotic ribosome. It is transcribed by RNA polymerase I as part of the 45S precursor that also contains 18S and 28S rRNA. The record is from RNAcentral. Lineage: Eukaryota; Viridiplantae; Streptophyta; Magnoliopsida; Poales; Poaceae.
CACAUGACUCUCGGCAACGGAUAUCUCGGCUCUUGCAUCGAUGAAGAACGUAGCAAAAUGCGAUACCUGGUGUGAAUUGCAGAAUCCCGUGAACCAUCGAGUUUUUGAACGCAAGUUGCGCCCAAGGCCGUCUGGUCGAGGGCACGUCUGCCUGGGCGUCACGC